Molecule: non-coding RNA, 3172 nt
Organism: Microcebus murinus (gray mouse lemur)
Lineage: Eukaryota; Metazoa; Chordata; Mammalia; Primates; Cheirogaleidae
Source: RefSeq, a predicted model, not a curated record
GGCCAACUGCCCACUGUGUCCACUGCAAGUCUGAGCAGGGGCCCGCAGCCUUGGCCCCCAUAUCCUCUGGCAGAGUCCUUGUCCCUCAUAGCCCCCACAUGGGCUCUCUUUGCUACCAUGGGGAGGACCCCUGAGGUCCCAGCAUCCUCACAAAACCCACAUUUUUCUAGAUCACAAGAGUGGUCCACCCCCUCAUCCCCAACGGGAAGCACAGCCAGAGAAGGGGUCCAAAAUCCCCAAGAGGGUAGGAGUUUUGGGUCCAUUCACCACCCAUCUGUCCAUCCAUUCGUCACCCAGUCCUAGCCAGCUCUUGCACAGGCCUCGCCACGGCCCCUGAGAAGAUGUCACCACUGUGCCUGUGUCACAGAAACACAUCGGCUGCCACCGCCUCGCUGGGCCUUGCUGUUCUCCCUGGGCAUGGUGGCUACGCUCAUUUCCAAAGCAGUGCCCGUGCCCUGCUUUAUAGGGUAAGCCAGCUCUAUUAGCUUUUAUCUGUGGCACGAAAACCACCCCCACUGUCCUUCACCUCUCUGGCUAUGCCACAUGCGCCUCCCAGGUGCUGGGCCGUGCGACAGAGCCAGCUAUCGGGGGUCAGCUCCCCGGGCCCAGCUCCCUCCUUCCGUGGUAGGUUAUUCCCAGAAGUUCCUUGGCCUCUGCAACAAGCUUCUGGCGAGGCCGGACCCACCAGCUCCAGGUACAUUUCCAAAGCAUCUGCAUCCAGCAAUGGUCCCAGCUGAGGCCGAAAUUUAGGGUUUCUGCCAUCUGGAGCAGGGGCCGUGCAGCAGGGGAGUUUGCACCCAGUUCAGCCAUCGGGCUUAAGGCGCAAACACGAGUCCAGAUGCCACCGAACAGUAUGUGGCCUGGGUCGGGGCUGGCUGGAGGCCUGGAGGGGCCUGGAGGGGUGGACCCACCAAGUGGAUCUCAGGGCUCCCAGCACUGGGGAAACUGGGGAAGGUGGCACCAGAGGCCUCCUCUCUCCUCCUUUCCUUGCCCUCUGACCUCUGACCAUCACCAGGAGGUGCUCCCUGAGUCUUCAAAGAGCCAGAGGUGCCUGCAGCACUGGUAUGUGAUAGAGCUUGUUCAGUCACUCACAGCUAAGCAAUUAAGGUCAGAUUCCCCAUGCUGUGGGCAAUCCACCUUACCCGCCUCCCCAGGAGCUGCCUACCUGCAGCGCGGCACCAAAUGCUCUGCCUGGAAGGUCAGAGGGGCCUCGGUGUCCUGUUUUUCAGCUGUCUGUCCUUGGAUAAGUUUCCGAGCUCUGGGCGAUCUGUUUGUGAAAUGAGAGUAAGCAGAGCGUCUGCUUCCGGGGCUGCUGCAAGGAUUGAGUGACUGUGGGGAGCACCUGCCCCAGCCCCUGGGGCGCAGCCCCAUUUGGCACGCAAGGUGUCACGCUGCUGGCCCCAGGAAUGUUUUUAUGGGGCUUGGCUACUUGCCAUCAGCCCAGGGACGCUGUAGGCCCAUCGAGAUUGACUCGUACCCUGCGCAGGCCUUCAGUUUGCUCUCCACAAGUCAGAUUCUGACGGGGCUCUGGUGCAGAAGGAGGGGGGCAGUCAGGGCCCUACCGGGGGCAGGACAAGAAAGAAUCUUCGAGAGUCAGGAAAGAGUGCGGGCCCAAUGCAUCAGAAUGCACCGGAAAUGCUUCUACCCUCCAAGGAGUGUCUUGCUAUUGAAGCAGGUAAAAAUCCAUCGCUGCUGUCAUACAUGGGACAUCACACAUGUCCCAGGUUACAUGUGGAGGGUUAAGAGCAGGGAAGGGGGAGAGAAGCGCCCAUUGAAGUUCAUGGUGAGAUGCAGAAGCAGGUGGAGAGAGCAAAAGAGGGACAGAAGGACUUAAAGGGAAAAAAGAGGCCACGAGGAAGCAUGAGAGUGUGUGACAGGGGAGGUGCAGGUCCUGGAUUCUGGUCUUGCCCCUGCAGUGCCCUGCAGAGGAGUCCAGACACCCCCUCACUACCCCCCAGCAGGAUGGCACAUGCAGCCCGGCUCUCUCCCCUGACCCCUGCCACAAACAACCCAGCAGCUGGUCUUCGGGUGCCAAGGGUUGUGGGACAGCUCAAGCAAGUAAACCCUGCAGACAUCCACGUUCCCUGGUCAUCUGCCAUCGGCACUAAGCUCUUAAUAUUUAUCUCAAAGAGAGAACUGCCGGAGAGUCCAUGCAUCUGCGUGUGUGUGUGUACACAAAUGCACAGAGCCACGCCUGCUGUGUUUUAAGGGCUUCUAAGUGUCAUGACUCACGUGGCCCCAACGUGAUUUGAUGGCUUGUUUAGAACAUGGCAGUAGACAGGACUAUGUUUUAGCUGGGGCUGGCCUCGGACAAGUCCUUAAACAUCCACGUGCCUCCAGGUGAGUAAAAACCGUACAUGUGCAGUGAGUUGAUGAUCAAGACGCAUCUCAUGAUGCCCAUCCCCCCAGGCACCCUCAACCCACCCUGUGGUCCCCACCCCAGGACGCUGAAAGACAGCCGUGCCCCUACGCUCACGGCUGCCACAUGUGGCCCUAAGGGAGGGAAAGAAUUCACGUGCCAGUUCCUGCAGUGCGCCAGGCACCCAGCUAACUGCUUCCGGAGAUCUUGGUGGCCCCAUUCUGUAAGUGUCCCUACACUCCCCUGAUGCUCACGACACCAUGAGGAAACUGAGGUUCUAAGAGCACAGCUUCCCCAGAGUCACCCUGCUCAUGGGCGUCGGGACCUGCAGAUGAGCCACCCAGUCCUUCCUGAAGCCAGAGCUGCGCCCAUCUCUCCGUCACCUCGCCGGGGCCUCACGACAACCUGGCGGGAGAUGGCAAGCCGGCUCCUCUGCAGUGGGAAGUUUCAAAAGACAUCCCAGCUGUCCGGCCUCCCUUCUCUCCUUUGGCCACAUCGUUAUCCCCUGGCUCACCUGUGCCGGGAUGCUUGUGACAAGUGGGGACCUCCCCCAGCAGCUGCAGAUUUGGGGUGCUGGCACGAGAGUGGGGUUGGCGUCUCCCCCGCAUGCUCCGCGUUGUCGUUGGAGAGCAGUUCACGGUGGUGGCAGGAACGGAACCUGGACUGCCGGGACUGACAGAGGGUCAGUCGGGCAGCUGCGAAAGAUCCAUCCACCCAGAACCCCAGAACAUUGUCUCACUUGGAAUAAGGGUCUUCGCAGGUUUGUGGUCAAGGGUCUCGCUAUGCUGCCUUGGCUCGUCUCAAACUCCUGUC